RNAcentral lists this ribosomal RNA (253 nucleotides) under uncultured bacterium. RNAcentral describes it as "partial 16S ribosomal RNA". It matches the Rfam family "Bacterial small subunit ribosomal RNA", at positions 524 to 776 of the family's 1533-position model. The record is from RNAcentral.
UACGGAGGGUGCGAGCGUUAAUCGGAAUUACUGGGCGUAAAGCGCGUGUAGGCGGCCCUGCAAGUCGGAUGUGAAAUCCCACGGCUCAACCGUGGAAGUGCAUUCGAAACUGCAGGGCUAGAGUCCUGGAGAGGAAGGUGGAAUGCUUGGUGUAGAGGUGAAAUUCGUAGAUAUCAAGCGGAACACCGGUGGCGAAGGCGGCCUUCUGGACAGUGACUGACGCUGAGACGCGAAAGCGUGGGGAGCAAACAGG